RNAcentral lists this unclassified non-coding RNA (153 nucleotides) under uncultured Dothideomycetes. RNAcentral's name for it is "sequence contains ITS2". The record is from RNAcentral. Lineage: Eukaryota; Fungi; Ascomycota; Dothideomycetes.
AAACUCUCAAGCUCCGCUUGGUGUUGGGUGCCGGUCCCCCGCGGGACCCGCCCGUAACCAGUUGGUGGUACCGUCCGGCUUCAAGCGUAGUAAGAAUCUUCCCUCGCUUCAGAAGCUCCGGGCGGCGCCUGCCAGGGAAAUCACACCCCUAAA